Molecule: ribosomal RNA, 468 nt
Filed under: uncultured bacterium
Lineage: Bacteria
Description: partial 16S ribosomal RNA
Rfam family: Bacterial small subunit ribosomal RNA
Source: RNAcentral
GACGAACGCUGGCGGCGUGCUUAACACAUGCAAGUCGAACGGAAAGGCCCUGCUUUUGUGGGGUGCUCGAGUGGCGAACGGGUGAGUAACACGUGAGUAACCUGCCCUUGACUUUGUGAUAACUUCAGGAAACUGGGGCUAAUACCGGAUAGGAGCUCCUGCUGCAUGGUGGGGGUUGGAAAGUUUCGGCGGUUGGGGAUGGACUCGCGGCUUAUCAGCUUGUUGGUGGGGUAGUGGCUUACCAAGGCUUUGACGGGUAGCCGGCCUGAGAGGGUGACCGGCCACAUUGGGACUGAGAUACGGCCCAGACUCCUACGGGAGGCAGCAGGGGGGAAUAUUGCACAAUGGGCGGAAGCCUGAUGCAGCAACGCCGCGUGCGGGAUGACGGCCUUCGGGUUGUAAACCGCUUUCGCCUGUGACGAAGCGUGAGUGACGGUAAUGGGUAAAGAAGCACCGGCUAACUACGUG